This 374-nucleotide ribosomal RNA is filed under the name uncultured bacterium. RNAcentral describes it as "bacterial SSU rRNA". It matches the Rfam family "Bacterial small subunit ribosomal RNA", at positions 29 to 426 of the family's 1533-position model. The record is from RNAcentral.
AACGAACGCUGGCGGCAGGCUUAACACAUGCAAGUCGAACGCGUGUAGCAAUACACGAGUGGCGCACGGGUGAGUAACGCGUGGAUAUCUGCCUUUUGGUUCGGAAUAACUCCGGGAAACUGGAGCUAAUACCGGAUGGUUCCUACGGGAUAAAGAUUUAUCGCCAAAAGAUGAGUCCGCGUACGAUUAACUAGUUGGUGAGGUAAUGGCUCACCAAGGCGACGAUCGUUAGCUGGUCUGAGAGGACGAUCAGCCACACUGGGGACUGAGACACGGCCCAGACUCCUACGGGAGGCAGCAGUGGGGAAUAUUGGACAAUGGGGGCGAACCCUGAUCCAGCCAUGCCGCGUGAGUGAUGAAGGCCUUCGGGUUGU